Molecule: ribosomal RNA, 305 nt
Filed under: uncultured bacterium
Lineage: Bacteria
Description: bacterial SSU rRNA
Rfam family: Bacterial small subunit ribosomal RNA
Source: RNAcentral
UCGUCCUACGGGACGCAGCAGUGGGGAAUAUUGGGCAAUGGGCGCAAGCCUGACCCAGCAACGCCGCGUGAAGGAAGAAGGCUUUCGGGUUGUAAACUUCUUUUAUGAGGGACGAAAGAAAUGACGGUACCUCAUGAAUAAGCCACGGCUAACUACGUGCCAGCAGCCGCGGUAAUACGUAGGUGGCAAGCGUUAUCCGGAUUUACUGGGUGUAAAGGGCGUGUAGGCGGGAAGCCAAGUCAGCUGUGAAAACUACGGGCUUAACUUGUAGGCUGCAGUUGAAACUGGUUUUCUUGAGUGAGGGA